GACGAACGCUGGCGGCGUGCCUAAUACAUGCAAGUUGAGCGCUGAAGGUUGGUACUUGUACCAACUGGAUGAGCAGCGAACGGGUGAGUAACGCGUGGGGAAUCUGCCUUUGAGCGGGGGACAACAUUUGGAAACGAAUGCUAAUACCGCAUAAAAACUUUAAACACAAGUUUUAAGUUUGAAAGAUGCAAUUACAUCACUCAAAGAUGAUCCCGCGUUGUAUUAGCUAGUUGGUGAGGUAAAGGCUCACCAAGGCGAUGAUACAUAGCCGACCUGAGAGGGUGAUCGGCCACAUUGGGACUGAGACACAGCCCAAACUCCUACGGGAGGCAGCAGUAGGGAAUCUUCGGCAAUGGACGAAAGUCUGACCGAGCAACGCCGCGUGAGUGAAGAAGGUUUUCGGAUCGUAAAACUCUGUUGGUAGAGAAGAACGUUGGUGAGAGUGGAAAGCUCAUCAAGUGACGGUAACUACCCAGAAAGGGACGGCUAACUACGUG
This 497-nucleotide ribosomal RNA is filed under the name uncultured bacterium. RNAcentral's name for it is "partial 16S ribosomal RNA". It matches the Rfam family "Bacterial small subunit ribosomal RNA", at positions 28 to 507 of the family's 1533-position model. The record is from RNAcentral.